This 68-nucleotide transfer RNA is filed under the name Marmota monax (woodchuck). Its description in RNAcentral is "tRNA.Ala". The record is from RNAcentral. Lineage: Eukaryota; Metazoa; Chordata; Mammalia; Rodentia; Sciuridae.
GGAUUGUGGCUUAGCGGUAGAGUGCUUGCCUAGCACAUGUGAGGCCCUGGGUUCAAUCCUCAGCACCA